UCAAGCUACUAAGAGCAUACGGUGGAUGCCUAGGCGCUAAGAAACGAAGAAGGGCGCGGUAAGCUGCGAAAAGCUACGGUGAGCCGCAAGCAGGCUUUGACCCGUAGAUACCCGAAUGGGGCAACCCAGCCGGAGUCAUAUCCGGCUAUCAUACGAUGAAUCCAUAAUCGUAUGAAGACAACCCGGAGAACUGAAACAUCUAAGUACCCGGAGGAAAAGAAAGUAAAAACGAUUCCCCCAGUAGCGGCGAGCGAACAGGGAAGAGCCUAAACCGGUUGAGAGGUGAGAGGUGGGAAGUUAGAAGUGAGAACACGAAAGAAUUGGCAAAGCCAAUUCCGACAAAAAACUCACAACCCACAUCUCAUUUCUCACCUCUCAACCGGGGUUGUGGGACUCACACCUAGCGAAGCGGAUCUUAGUCGAAGCGGACUGGAAAGUCCCGGCGGAGGAGGUAAAACCCCUGUAGACGAAAAGAUUUGCCAGCGGUGAGUAUCCCGAGUACCACGGGGCACGAGAAAUUCCGUGGGAAUCAGCGAGGACCAUCUCGUAAGGCUAAAUACUCCUUAGCGACCGAUAGUGCAAAAGUACCGUGAGGGAAAGGUGAAAAGUACCCCGGGAGGGGAGUGAAAUAGUACCUGAAACCGUAUGCUUACAAACAGUCAGAGGCGAAAGCUGAUGGCGUGCCUUUUGUAGAAUGAACUGGCGAGUUGCGGUAACAAGCGAGGUUAAGGUGAGAAGCCGGAGCCGAAGCGAAAGCAAGUCUGAAGAGGGCGAAAAGUUUGUUGCCGCAGACCCGAAACCGUGUGAUCUACCCAUGUCCAGGGUGAAGCGUAAGUAAAAUUGCGUGGAGGCCCGAACCUUCUAGCGUUGAAAAGCUAUUGGAUGAGGCGUGGGUAGGGGUGAAAUGCCAAUCGAACACGGAGAUAGCUGGUACUCCUCGAAAUAGCUUUAGGGCUAGCCUCAAGGGAAGAUUUGCGGAGGUAGAGCACUGACUAGGCUAGGGGUCUUCACAGAUUACCGAACCAUCUCAAACUCCGAAUACCGUAAAUCAUCCUUGGGAGUCAGACUGUGGGUGCUAAGAUUCAUAGUCGAAAGGGAAACAGCCCAGACCAACAGCUAAGGUCCCAGAGUGCAGACUAAGUGGAAAAGGAUGUGGAACCGCAAAGACAACCAGGAUGUUGGCUUAGAAGCAGCCAUCAUUCAAAGAGUGCGUAAUAGCUCACUGGUCCAGGGGUUCUGCGCCGAAAAUAUACCGGGGCUCAAGUCAGCCACCGAAGCUUUGGGAUGUUCUUUUGAACAUCGGUAGGGGAGCAUUGUAUCGCCGUUGAAGCUAAAUCGUAAGAUAUAGUGGAGGCUAUACAAGAGAGAAUGCCAGUAUAAGUACACGAAAAGACAAGUGAGAAACUUGUCCGCCGAAAACCUAAGGAUUCCUGGGGAAGGCUCGUCCGCCCAGGGUAAGUCGGGACCUAAGCUGAGGCCGAGAGGCGUAAGCGAUGGAAAAUCGGUUGAAAUUCCGAUACCGCAGCCAACCGUUUGAACGAAGCAGGGACACAGGAAGGUAACCUUAGCGCACCGUUGGUCGAGUGCGCCUAAGUACGCAGGGUGCUGAGCAGUAAAAUACACUCAGCGGAAGCCCGAAGUACGAAUGGGAGGGAAACUAAGUACCGAAGAAGGUGACCCUAUACUGUCAAGAAAAGCUGCUAGUGAGGUUGAAUGCGCCCGUACCGUAAACCGACACAGGUAGGUGGGGUGAGAAACCCAAGGCGCGCGAGAAAACCCUCGUUAAGGAACUCGGCAAAAUGGCCCCGUAACUUCGGGAGAAGGGGUGCCUCCAGAAAUGGAGGCCGCAGAGAAGAGGCCCAGGCGACUGUUUAACAAAAACACAGGUGCUUGCCAAAACGAAAGUUGACGUAUAAGUGCUGACGCCUGCCCGGUGCUGGAAGGUUAAGGGGAGAAGUUAGUCGCAAGACGAAGCUUAGAACCGAAGCCCCAGUAAACGGCGGCCGUAACUAUAACGGUCCUAAGGUAGCGAAAUUCCUUGUCGGGUAAGUUCCGACCCGCACGAAAGGCGUAACGAUCUGGGCACUGUCUCAACGAGGGACUCGGUGAAAUUGUAAUACCGGUGAAGAUGCCGGUUACCUGCGAUAGGACAGAAAGACCCCAUGGAGCUUUACUGUAGCUUGAUAUUGGAUUUUGGUAGUUGAUGUACAGGAUAGGUGGGAGACUAAGAAGGCAGGUCGCAAGGCUUGCUGGAGUCAAUGGUGGGAUACCACUCUUGAAUUGCUGAAAUUCUAACCUUGUCCCGUAAACCGGGUCAGGGACAGUGUCAGGCGGGCAGUUUGACUGGGGCGGUCGCCUCCCAAAGAGUAACGGAGGCGCCCAAAGGUUCCCUCAGCGCGGACGGAAAUCGCGCGAAGAGUGUAAAGGCAAAAGGGAGCUUGACUGCGACACCAACAAGUGGAGCAGGGACGAAAGUCGGGCUUAGUGAUCCGGUGGCACCGCAUGGAAGGGCCAUCGCUCAACGGAUAAAAGCUACCCUGGGGAUAACAGGCUUAUCUCCCCCAAGAGUCCACAUCGACGGGGAGGUUUGGCACCUCGAUGUCGGCUCAUCGCAUCCUGGAGCUGUAGUAGGUUCCAAGGGUUGGGCUGUUCGCCCAUUAAAGCGGUACGUGAGCUGGGUUCAGAACGU
RNAcentral lists this ribosomal RNA (2689 nucleotides) under fermentation metagenome. Its description in RNAcentral is "bacterial LSU rRNA". It matches the Rfam family "Bacterial large subunit ribosomal RNA", at positions 3 to 2619 of the family's 2925-position model. The record is from RNAcentral.